CACAGACUUAGCUGCCCCAAGGCAUGUGGAAUCUUCCUGGACCAGGGAUCGAACCCAUGCCUCCUGCACCGGCAGGCAGAUUCCCAACCACGGGACCACCAGGGAAGUUCAGAUUUUCAAUUCUGACUUGGAUGAGGCACCAGCAGGGAGAUGGCACAGGCAUGACCGCCAUCAAAUCUCCUGGAAAGCCAAAAGCCUUGCAUUUCUAUCACCGGUGGAUGACCCACGUCUAUGCCAGGACCAGCACAAAAGUCACAGCAGCAAAUCAUAGUGCGAACACUGACUUGAAACUGAGAGAUGAACUGUCUUCCCCAAGCUGACAAGAGCUCUGGAUUCGAACCCAGGACUCCUGCCUGCAGAUCCAGUGAUGGGACCGGAUGCCAUGAUCUUAGUUUUUUGAAUGUCGAGUUUCAAGCCAACUUUUUCAACUCCCAGACUGAACAUCAAAGCGGGUAUUUGCAGGAUGAUGCCCAGAAGAAACCUCACAACUGUCAUUUGCAAGCCCUGAGUUGCUGCUUGCCAUGGACCAGAGCAGGAAUGGCUCCUGUUUCUCUCCUGUCUCACCAAUCUUGCAGGAAUGCCUCUUAAUUGUACACUGCAUUCUAUAGCCCUGCUGACAGUGGAGUUUUAGAUGUGUAGUUCCCAGAGGUGCAGAGUUGCUAGCAGACACCCCAGUUCAGUUCAGUUCAGUUCAGUUGCUCAGUCGUGUCUGACUCUUUGCAACCCCAUGAAUCGCAGCAUGCCAGGCCUCCCUGUCCAUCACCAACUCCUGGAGUUUACUCAAACUCAUGUCCAUCGAGUCGGUGAUGCCAUCCAGCCAUCUCAUCCUCUGUCGUCCCCUUCUCCUCCUGCCCCCAAUCUCUCCCAGCAUCAGGGUCUUUUCCAAUGAGUCAACUCUUCGUAUGAGGUGGCCAAAGGAUUGGAGUUUCAGCUUCAGCAUCAGUCCUUCCAGUGAACACCCAGGACUGAUCUCCUUUAGGAUGGACUGGUUGGAUCUCCUUGCAGUCCAAGGGACUCUCAAGAGUCUUCUCCAACACCACAGUUCAAAAGCAUCAAUUUUUCGGCGCUCAGCUUUCUUUACAGUCUAACUCUCAGCACACCUCAAAAGGGUGAAACAUGGAGGUGGUGAUGAGAAUGAUUCAGAGCAAGAAGUUGGAAGUGAUCCUGAGCCAUGGUGGGGAUCGGACCCCACUCCAGAUGUCCAAGACAGCCUCCUUACUCCAUGAGGUUUUCCCUCCCCAGGUGUCCCUUAAAUUGGGGUCUUCCCUACAAAAGCAACAAACACUGGACAACAAAGUACAGCCCUGGGGAUGAAGGAGACGUUUAAAAGUAAAGAAUGGAGCCAUAUUCAUUGGUCAAAAGAAAUGAGCUACCAGAGCACAUGGAGGAAACUUAAAUGUAUUGAUGAGUGAAAGAAGCCAGUCUAAAAAGGCUGCAGACUCUGAUUCCAACUAUAUGACAUUAUGGAAAAGGCAAAACUAUAAAGGCAGUCCAAAGAAACUUGUUGCCAGGAGUUCUGGUGGAGUUGGGAGGAAUGAGUAGGUGGAGCACAGGAGGGUUUUCAGGGCAGUGAAACUAUUCUGCAUGAAGCUUUCAUGGUGGAUCUGUGACAUCUUGCAUGAAAUGUGUAACCCCAAGAGUGAACCCUAAUGUAAACUGUGGACUUUAGUUAGUAAUCAAUAUUGGUUCAUCAA
Dama dama (fallow deer) is the source of this 1694-nucleotide long non-coding RNA. RefSeq lists it as uncharacterized. The transcript has 3 exons. Lineage: Eukaryota; Metazoa; Chordata; Mammalia; Artiodactyla; Cervidae. The record is from RefSeq and is a predicted model, not a curated record.